Long non-coding RNA from Equus caballus (horse), 2128 nucleotides. NCBI's taxonomy places the organism in Eukaryota, Metazoa, Chordata, Mammalia, Perissodactyla, Equidae. The record is from Ensembl.
GCAAAAUUGAGUGGACAGUACUAAGAGUUCCCAUACGCCCUCUGUCCCCAUACUAUCCCACAGCCACAUACUAUCCUAAUUUUAAUAAUAUAUUUUAUUUAACCCAAUAUAUAAAAUUAUUAUUAUUUCAACAUUAAUCAAUAUAAAAAUCAUUAAUGAGGUAUUUUACCUUUUUUUCCGCUGUAUACUGCUUUAGUUUUUACAGUUUAAAAUGUGGCCCUAGCCAUGUUUCAAGUGCUCAACAGCCACAUGUGGCUAGUGGCCACCUAUUAGUGCAGAAGAGAAUCAGAUGUUCCAAGGAACAUAGUUUAGGAAAUGCUGGUCUAGCCACACCUGCCCAUCACACAGAUGAAGCUGUGGAGCGAGGAACGUUGGAAGUGACUCUCCUGACAUAGAGACCCAAGUAGCGUCAGAGGUGAGAUCAACACACAAGAGUAGUUCUUGCCACUACACUGUGACUCAAACAUAAAUCUUCUCCUUUGUAGGAGGGAGAAUUCCACCUUCCUUCCUGUGCCCUGCAGGAGAACUCUCUUCUGUUCCUUUGACUUGAAUUAGAAUGGGGCUUAGCCUAGGGCCAGGAGUCCUGAGCCUGCAGUGACUAUCCCCAGCCUUUCAUUCUGCUAUAGUUCUCGAAUCUCUGUGCUGUCUUAAGAUUUGCACAGUAUCCAUUCUUAGUCAGCUUAGGUGUAUCUUUCAGGCCAUAGUGUACUGGGGUCCCUAACCGCAGGGUCAUUGGUCACUGGGGUUCUGGAAUGCAGAGGACAAGAGGAGUCUUCUGUUCAUCACCCAUUCAACAAAUACUCAUUGACCACCCAACAACGUGAUGUGUUCCAGGCCCUGGGGACAUAUCAAUGAACAAGCCAAGUCCUUGACCUCUGGAAUUUAGAUUCCAGUGGUGGGAGACAGACAAAACACAAAUAUGUAAAUAGAUGGCACAUCAGGUAGGAAUAAGCUUUACUGAGAGAAGAGAAAAUAAGGGUAAACAGGAGUAAGGAAUGGAGGCCAAAGAGUGGUGAGGGUAGUGCUAUCGAAGACGAUGGUGGUGAAGAUGAUGAGGAGUGACGAAACACAGCUCUAAGAUUUUCUAACCACGCUAUGCCAUGAAAAUGGUUUAAAAGUAAAGGGAAGUCUUGCCAGGUGCUAAUCGUAAUACUUUACUGAGUGCUUACUAAUAGCCAGGAAUUAUGCCAAGGGCUUUAGGUCCAUUAACUCAUUUGUUCUUCACAAUGACCCCACAAGAGUGGGUAUUACUGUUACACUCUUUUGAGAUUCAGCAAAAUUAACCACCUGAUAAGCCAUGGAGCCAGUAAGUGACGAUAGAUCUGGGAUUGGAAGCCAGGAUGUCUGAGGAGCCCGGCAGCUCUCAAACAUUAGUGUCCAUCAGAAUCACCAGGAGGGCUUGUUAAACCAUAGAUUGCUGGGCUCUAUCUUCAGAGUUUCUGAUUCACUAGGUCUAAGGUGGGGCCCAAGGAUUUGCAUUACUAACAAGUUCCCAGACGAGGAUCAUGUUGCUGGUUGGGUACCACACAUUGAGAAUUAAUAGAGUAGCCUAUGUUCUUAACCAGUACAAGAUAAUAGUAGAAGGGCUUGCUCUGUCCAAGAGGAACCUGAGGAAAUGACACACGGCAACUGGAUGUAUUGGCAGGAGCUACAGCUGGUCGGGGGCGAGGGCGGUGGAUGAUGAGCAGAGUUCUACCCUUUCUUAGCUGUGUCCCAUCUUCACUAUAACACAGGGGCAGCUGCUAAUCUCUAUUAGCGGGGAGUGAGCUUUGAGAUGUUUUCCCUGGAAGGAAUGAACAAAGACUGACAGAGUCAUACCUUUUCAUCAGUCUCUUUCCUCUAGUCUAUCCAAAUAUUCCACAUCCUUCAAGAUCAAGAUGAAAUCCCAUCUAAGGUUGAUCUCUUGGUUCUCACAAUUCAGAUUGUUUUUAGACUCAGUGUUACAUAUAGUAGAGAUUAUUAAUCUCUAAUUUAUUUACGUACCUUUGUCUUUCUUCUCCAGUUAGUUUAAAAGCUUUUUGAGGUCAAGAAUAGUGGUUUAUAUUUAUCUAGGAUUUCCAAUGUGGCUAGAACCAUCUUAGACUAGCUGUACAAUCAAUGAUUAUUGAAAAAAAAUUCAAUGAGUUAG